RNAcentral lists this ribosomal RNA (476 nucleotides) under Rakaia minutissima. RNAcentral describes it as "partial 16S ribosomal RNA". The record is from RNAcentral. Lineage: Eukaryota; Metazoa; Arthropoda; Arachnida; Opiliones; Pettalidae.
UUCUUUUAGAUUUUAUUGAAAGUAUCUUUUGCUCAAUGAUUUAUUAAAUAGCAGCAGAUUUCUGUUCUAAGGUAGCAUAAUCAAUUGUCUUAUUAAUUGUAGACUAGUAUGAAGGAGGGAAUAAUUUAUGACUUUAUUUUCUAUAUUAAUUNAAAUUAAUUUUUUAGUAAAAAAGCUAAAAUUAAAUAUAGGGACAAGAAGACCCUANAAAGCUAAAUAAGUUUUUAANAUNUAUUGUAUAGAAAAUUUUUUUANUGGNGCAAUAUAUUAUUANAAAAAUUAUAAUAAUAAUAAAAUUAUUAAUAUUAUUGAUCCUAUUUAUAGAGAAUUUGAAAAAGUUACUUUAGGGAUAACAGGAUAAUUUUUGUGAAGAAGUACAAAUUUUUUAUAAAGAUUAUUACCUCGAUGUUGAAUUAAUUGUAUAGUAGGGAGAAAAAAUUCUAUAUAUUUGACUGUUCGUCAAUUAAAAAAUUACA